This 253-nucleotide ribosomal RNA is filed under the name uncultured Phaselicystis sp. RNAcentral describes it as "partial 16S ribosomal RNA". It matches the Rfam family "Bacterial small subunit ribosomal RNA", at positions 524 to 776 of the family's 1533-position model. The record is from RNAcentral. Lineage: Bacteria; Pseudomonadati; Myxococcota; Polyangiales; Phaselicystidaceae.
GACAGAGGGUGCAAACGUUGCUCGGAAUUACUGGGCGUAAAGCGCGUGUAGGCGGUUUUGCACGUCCGGUGUGAAAGCCCAGGGCUCAACCCUGGAAGUGCACUGGAUACGACGAAGCUUGAGUACGGAAGAGGAGAGCGGAAUUCCCGGUGUAGAGGUGAAAUUCGUAGAUAUCGGGAGGAACACCAGUGGCGAAGGCGGCUCUCUGGACCGAGACUGACGCUGAGACGCGAAAGCGUGGGGAGCAAACAGG